GUGAGGAAUAUUGCGCAAUGGAGGCAACUCUGACGCAGCCAUGCCGCGUGCAGGAAGAAGGCGCUACGCGUUGUAAACUGCUUUUAACCGGGAAGAAACCCCAGGACGUGUCCUGGGUUGACGGUACCGGAGGAAUAAGCACCGGCUAACUUCGUGCCAGCAGCCGCGGUAAUACGAAGGGUGCAAGCGUUAUCCGGAUGCAUUGGGUUUACAGGGUGCGUAGGCGGAGCGUUAAGUCAGUGGUGAAAUCCUGCAGCUUAACUGUAGACUUGCCAUUGAUACUGGCGCUCUUGAGUGCGCUUGAAGUGGGCGGAAUGUGCCGUGUAGCGGUGAAAUGCUUAGAUAUGGCACAGAACACCAAUUGCGAAGGCAGCUCACUAAGGCGAUACUGACGCUGAGGCACGAAAGCGUGGGGAUCGAACAGGAUUAGGAACCCCUGUAGUCC
RNAcentral lists this ribosomal RNA (445 nucleotides) under uncultured bacterium. Its description in RNAcentral is "partial 16S ribosomal RNA". It matches the Rfam family "Bacterial small subunit ribosomal RNA", at positions 354 to 796 of the family's 1533-position model. The record is from RNAcentral.